This 420-nucleotide ribosomal RNA is filed under the name uncultured bacterium. Its description in RNAcentral is "partial 16S ribosomal RNA". It matches the Rfam family "Bacterial small subunit ribosomal RNA", at positions 361 to 773 of the family's 1533-position model. The record is from RNAcentral.
AUAUUGGACAAUGGGGGCAACCCUGAUCCAGCUAUGCCGCGUGUGUGAAGAAGGUCUUCGGCUUGUAAAGCACUUUAAGUUGGGAGGAAGGGCAUUAGGUUAAUACCCUGAAGUUUUGACGCUACCCACAGAAUAAGCACCGGCUGACUCUGUGCCAGCAGACGCGGUAAUUCAGAGGGUGCAAGGGUUAACCGGAAUUACUGCGCGUAAAGCGGUCGUAGGUGGUUCAGUAAAAUGGGUGUGAAAUCCCCGGGCUUAACCUGGGAACUGCUUUCAUAACUGCUGAGCUAGAGUACGGUAGAGGGUAGUGGAAUUUCCUGUGUAGCGGUGAAAUGCGUAGAUAUAGGAAGGAACACCAGUGGCGAAGGCGACUACCUGGACUGAUACUGACACUGAGGUGCGAAAGCGUGGGGAGCAAAC